Molecule: ribosomal RNA, 929 nt
Filed under: uncultured Bacillota bacterium
Lineage: Bacteria; Bacillati; Bacillota
Description: bacterial SSU rRNA
Rfam family: Bacterial small subunit ribosomal RNA
Source: RNAcentral
UGGAUCCAGACUUUGAUCAUGGCUCAGGAUGAACGCCGGCGGCAUGCCUAAUACAUGCAAGUCGAACGAGAGGAAGGAAAGCUUGCUUUUCUGAAUCUAGUGGCGAACGGGUGAGUAACACGUAGGUAACCUGCCCAUGUGCCCGGGAUAACUUCUGGAAACGGAUGCUAAAACCGGAUAGGUAGCAGACAAGCAUUUGACUGCUAUUAAAGUGGCUAUGGCCAUGAACAUGGAUGGACCUGCGGUGCAUUAGCUAGUUGGUGAGGUAACGGCCCACCAAGGCGACGAUGCAUAGCCGGCCUGAGAGGGCGGACGGCCACAUUGGGACUGAGACACGGCCCAAACUCCUACGGGAGGCAGCAGUAGGGAAUUUUCGUCAAUGGGGGGAACCCUGAACGAGCAAUGCCGCGUGAGUGAGGAAGGUCUUCGGAUCGUAAAGCUCUGUUGUAAGAGAAAAACGGCACUCAUAGGGAAUGAUGAGUGAGUGAUGGUAUCUUACCAGAAAGUCACGGCUAACUACGUGCCAGCAGCCGCGGUAAUACGUAGGUGGCGAGCGUUAUCCGGAAUGAUUGGGCGUAAAGGGUGCGUAGGUGGCAGAUCAAGUCUGGAGUAAAAGGUAUGGGCUCAACCCGUACUGGCUCUGGAAACUGAUCAGCUAGAGAACAGAAGAGGACGGCGGAACUCCAUGUGUAGCAGUAAAAUGCGUAGAUAUAUGGAAGAACACCGGUGGCGAAGGCGGCCGUCUGGUCUGGAUUCUGACACUGAAGCACGAAAGCGUGGGGAGCAAAUAGGAUUAGAUACCCUAGUAGUCCACGCCGUAAACGAUGAGAACUAGGUGUUGGGGGAAUAACUCAGUGCCGCAGUUAACGCAAUAAGUUCUCCGCCUGGGGAGUAUGCACGCAAGUGUGCAACUCAAAGGAAUUGACGGA